GCUGGCGGCGUGCUUAACACAUGCAAGUCGAACGGAAAGGCCCUGCUUUUGUGGGGUGCUCGAGUGGCGAACGGGUGAGUAACACGUGAGUAACCUGCCCUUGACUUUGGGAUAACUUCAGGAAACUGGGGCUAAUACCGGAUAGGAGCUCCUGCUGCAUGGUGGGGGUUGGAAAGUUUCGGCGGUUGGGGAUGGACUCGCGGCUUAUCAGCUUGUUGGUGGGGUAGUGGCUUACCAAGGCUUUGACGGGUAGCCGGCCUGAGAGGGUGACCGGCCACAUUGGGACUGAGAUACGGCCCAGACUCCUACGGGAGGCAGCAGUGGGGAAUAUUGCACAAUGGGCGGAAGCCUGAUGCAGCAACGCCGCGUGCGGGAUGACGGCCUUCGGGUUGUAAACCGCUUUCGCCUGUGACGAAGCGUGAGUGACGGUAAUGGGUAAAGAAGCACCGGCUAACUACGUGCCAGCAGCCGCGGUGAUACGUAGGGUGCGAGCGUUGUCCGGAUUUAUUGGGCGUAAAGGGCUCGUAGGUGGUUGAUCGCGUCGGAAGUGUAAUCUUGGGGCUUAACCCUGAGCGUGCUUUCGAUACGGGUUGACUUGAGGAAGGUAGGGGAGAAUGGAAUUCCUGGUGGAGCGGUGGAAUGCGCAGAUAUCAGGAGGAACACCAGUGGCGAAGGCGGUUCUCUGGGCCUUUCCUGACGCUGAGGAGCGAAAGCGUGGGGAGCGAACAGGCUUAGAUACCCUGGUAGUCCACGCUGUAAACGGUGGGUACUAGGUGUGGGGUCCAUUCCACGGGUUCCGUGCCGUAGCUAACGCUUUAAGUACCCCGCCUGGGGAGUACGGCCGCAAGGCUA
Molecule: ribosomal RNA, 852 nt
Filed under: uncultured organism
Description: SSU rRNA
Rfam family: Bacterial small subunit ribosomal RNA
Source: RNAcentral